GAAGGUGCAUUCAAGGGGGGCAGCCGAGAAUCGGCAUUGCAUUCAGGUGAUGUGCAGGCGAAUGACAGCAGUACACGUGAUGCUACAAGACCAUGCAUUGCACGUAUAAUUCAUGCACGUAUAUAAAAUCAAACUGCUGAUUUAAAUAUUCAGAUAUAAUAAUUAAACAAAGGUUCUGCAUACAAACAAAAGGUUGUACUGAAAUAAAUUUAAGACUACACGAAACAAAGGUUCUGGUGAAUGAAAAUUUUGAACUAAAUGUUGUAGAUAUUAAAUAAUUUAACUAAAUUUAAAUUGGACGACGUUUAGCCAUAAUCUCCUUUUGCAUCAUCUCCACCCAUUCACGCUGAAUCGUGGAAAGGGAGGUAGUGUCCGCAAACAUUAUUUCUUUCUCUUGCUUAAUCAAGUCGGCUUCGGCUCUUGUCUUCUCUGAAGCAGCUCUUGUCUUCUCUAUCUCUAGUGCUUCUCUAGCUCUUUGUUUCUCUAGCUCUAGUGCUUCCUUGU
Molecule: long non-coding RNA, 504 nt
Filed under: Sorghum bicolor (sorghum)
Lineage: Eukaryota; Viridiplantae; Streptophyta; Magnoliopsida; Poales; Poaceae
Description: long non-coding RNA (SBIC_LNC018753)
Source: RNAcentral